RNAcentral lists this ribosomal RNA (477 nucleotides) under uncultured bacterium. RNAcentral's name for it is "partial 16S ribosomal RNA". It matches the Rfam family "Bacterial small subunit ribosomal RNA", at positions 28 to 507 of the family's 1533-position model. The record is from RNAcentral.
GAUGAACGCUGGCGGCGUGCCUAAUACAUGCAAGUCGAGCGAACAGACGAGGAGCUUGCUCCUCUGACGUUAGCGGCGGACGGGUGAGUAACACGUGGAUAACCUACCUAUAAGACUGGGAUAACUUCGGGAAACCGGAGCUAAUACCGGAUAACAUGUUGAACCGCAUGGUUCAACAGUGAAAGACGGUUUUGCUGUCACUUAUAGAUGGAUCCGCGUCGCAUUAGCUAGUUGGUAAGGUAACGGCUUACCAAGGCAACGAUGCGUAGCCGGCCUGAGAGGGUGACCGGCCACACUGGGACUGAGACACGGCCCAGACUCCUACGGGAGGCAGCAGUGGGGAAUAUUGCACAAUGGGCGAAAGCCUGAUGCAGCAACGCCGCGUGAGGGACGACGGCCUUCGGGUUGUAAACCUCUUUUAGCAGGGAAGAAGCGAAAGUGACGGUACCUGCAGAAAAAGCGCCGGCUAACUACGUG